GCACGAAUGGCAUAAUGAUGGCAGCGCUGUCUCCAGCAGAGACUCAGUGAAAUCGAAAUCGCAGUGAAGAUGCUGUGUACCCGCGGCUAGACGGAAAGACCCCGUGAACCUUUACUACAGCUUUACAUUGAACUUUGACCUAACUUGUGUAGGAUAGGUGGGAGGCUUUGAAGCAGAUACGCCAGUAUUUGUGGAGCCAACCUUGAAAUACCACCCUGGUUAUGUUGGGGUUCUAACUUAGGAUUAACAAAUCCAAGGACAAUGUAUGGUGGGUAGUUUGACUGGGGCGGUCUCCUCCUAAAGAGUAACGGAGGAGUACGAAGGUGCGCUCAGAACGGUCGGAAAUCGUUCAAAGAGUAUAAAGGCAAAAGCGCGCUUAACUGCGAGACCCACAAGUCGAGCAGGUACGAAAGUAGGUCUUAGUGAUCCGGUGGUUCUGUAUGGAAGGGCCAUCGCUCAACGG
This 463-nucleotide ribosomal RNA is filed under the name Moraxella nonliquefaciens. RNAcentral's name for it is "bacterial LSU rRNA". It matches the Rfam family "Bacterial large subunit ribosomal RNA", at positions 1990 to 2455 of the family's 2925-position model. Lineage: Bacteria; Pseudomonadati; Pseudomonadota; Gammaproteobacteria; Moraxellales; Moraxellaceae. The record is from RNAcentral.